CCUACGGGAGGCAGCAGUGGGGAAUUUUGGACAAUGGGCGCAAGCCUGAUCCAGCAAUGCCGCGUGCAGGAAGAAGGCCUUCGGGUUGUAAACUGCUUUUGUCAGGGAAGAAAUCUUCUGGGUUAAUACCUCGGGAGGAUGACGGUACCUGAAGAAUAAGCACCGGCUAACUACGUGCCAGCAGCCGCGGUAAUACGUAGGGUGCGAGCGUUAAUCGGAAUUACUGGGCGUAAAGCGUGCGCAGGCGGCUUUGCAAGACAGAGGUGAAAUCCCCGGGCUCAACCUGGGAACUGCCUUUGUGACUGCAAGGCUAGAGUACGGCAGAGGGGGAUGGAAUUCCGCGUGUAGCAGUGAAAUGCGUAGAUAUGCGGAGGAACACCAAUGGCGAAGGCAAUCCCCUGGGCCUGUACUGACGCUCAUGCACGAAAGCGUGGGGAGCAAACAGGAUUAGAUACCCUGGUAGUCCACGCCCUAAACGAUGUCAACUGGUUGUUGGACGGCUUGCUGUUCAGUAACGAAGCUAACGCGUGAAGUUGACCGCCUGGGGAGUCGGCCGCAAGGUUGAAACUCAAAGGAUUGACGGNNGAGAGNGCGAGGACGACGACGAGGGAGGAGG
This 616-nucleotide ribosomal RNA is filed under the name uncultured bacterium. Its description in RNAcentral is "bacterial SSU rRNA". It matches the Rfam family "Bacterial small subunit ribosomal RNA", at positions 338 to 951 of the family's 1533-position model. The record is from RNAcentral.